AAACUUAGCCCCAGCAAAAACGACUUCACCCUUUUUAAAAAGGAUAUUACCCUCCUCGCUCAAGACCUUAGCUUGAUUUAGGAUAUUUUAGGGGCAAUUAUUAGUAGCAAAGUUCACAAUGCUUUCAUCAUAAUUGUCAUUCAAGUGUGUGCGAAAGGGCGUUAUUCAAUUUAUGGCAAUCCAUAACAAACUACUAAAGAUAAAAGGGAUUGACUACAAACUACACUAAAGAGGAACUCACGAGCAACACCAAGAAGUAAAUGGACUAAAUAGACCAGAUUUGAGGGAAACCCAAUUAAAAGCACUUAAAUAGAAGCUGAACAAAGGACGUUAUCGGUCGGAGAACUAAACCCCACCCGCAUCAAGAGAGAAGGGGGUCAAUCCAAACCAGUCGGCGUGACGGGCGACGAUCGAGUCACCGUCACAAGUACCGCGAUACCUCGAACAGCGAGGAUGAAUGGUUCAGCGUCUAAACACCCGGGGUCUCCCGCGAGCUGGUCGGAAUAGAUAGAGGACGGUCCCGCCGCCGAACGAGAGGUAAAGCCGCCUGCUCUGAUCGCCGGUGGUCCGCCUAACGAAGCAAGACAAGAAAACGAGAGAUGAACUUGAAGGUAUUAGAGGUUCCUGAUAUCAAAAGGUUGUGUGUGAUGGAUCAUCCCAUGACCCGACCCAUACAAGUGUAUACUCGGAGGGCCAAGAGUAGCAAGGCAAGAGUCCAUGGUCAAGAGGUCAACAUUAACAAAAAGGGCCAAGAAAUCAGCAGCAACAACAAAGAACAAGAGGACAAAACCCAUUAAGAAGCAACUAAGGAAAAUAAGCAACAAAGCUCCUAUUAUGUCUAAUAUGGUUUUGCCAUUUUAGUUAAUAUUCACAUGUAUCAACCUAAAAAUGGUUAAGUAUUAAACCUUGUAUGGGCUGUUUUGUUUUUGCUGUUUGCUGCGCUGGGUGUUUUUCUCUAUGUUGCUAUACUGUAGUCUGUCUGAUGCUUGGAUGGACUACGGGUGUGCUCUGUUUGAAGCUUGCAGGCCUGGAGCUGCAAGGUCUUCUGCUGCUGUUGCUGUUGCUUUUGCUCAUACGUAGAUUUUUUAUGGUCAUAUGGAACUAUGUAUAUCGUAAGACGUACUACUAUUUUAUUUUAUUUUAGAUGAAAAGUGUAAAUAUUUCCAAGUUAUUAAUGAAAAUAAAUAAGGUUUCAUA
Chenopodium quinoa (quinoa) is the source of this 1197-nucleotide long non-coding RNA. RefSeq lists it as uncharacterized. Lineage: Eukaryota; Viridiplantae; Streptophyta; Magnoliopsida; Caryophyllales; Amaranthaceae. The record is from RefSeq and is a predicted model, not a curated record. The transcript has 3 exons.